This 79-nucleotide non-coding RNA is filed under the name Cupriavidus basilensis. RNAcentral's name for it is "Xanthine-I sequence". It matches the Rfam family "Xanthine riboswitch aptamer (NMT1 RNA)". Rfam says of the family: Later it was reported as a ncRNA that recognised Xanthine. The record is from Rfam by way of RNAcentral. Lineage: Bacteria; Pseudomonadati; Pseudomonadota; Betaproteobacteria; Burkholderiales; Burkholderiaceae.
CCAUCGAGUAGAAGCGGUUAGCGCCGAUGCGCCUCCCCCAGCGGGCAGGCGCAUGCCGGCGCGGGACAUUGCUCUCGCG